AGACAGCAGUAGCCACGGGAAUACAUAGGGUGCGAGCGUUAAUCGGAAUUACUGGGCGUAAAGCGUGCGCAGGCGGUUGUAUAAGACAGAUGUGAAAUCCCCGGGCUCAACCUGGGACCUGCAUUUGUGACUGUAUAGCUAGAGUACGGUAGAGGGGGAUGGAAUUCCGCGUGUAGCAGUGAAAUGCGUAGAUAUGCGGAGGAACACCGAUGGCGAAGGCAAUACCCUGGACCUGUACUGACGCUCAUGCACGAAAGCGUGGGGAGCAAACAGGAUUAGAUACCCGCGUAGUCCCUGUCUCUUAUAC
This 307-nucleotide ribosomal RNA is filed under the name uncultured bacterium. RNAcentral describes it as "partial 16S ribosomal RNA". It matches the Rfam family "Bacterial small subunit ribosomal RNA", at positions 503 to 807 of the family's 1533-position model. The record is from RNAcentral.